Molecule: small RNA, 158 nt
Filed under: Clostridiales bacterium CHKCI001
Lineage: Bacteria; Bacillati; Bacillota; Clostridia; Eubacteriales
Description: Clostridiales-1 RNA
Rfam family: Clostridiales-1 RNA
Source: Rfam by way of RNAcentral
UAAAAGUCCCGAACAGCAGCCAUGAGCCAGACCGUGUUUACACGGGAUGGUUCAUGGAUAUUGGACGGGCUGACCUGGAUGAACAAGUAGAGCGAUCGCUCGAAUUGUGAAUACAGGUACGAUGUCGAGAGUGCACAGCACGGAGACAUCGACUUUUU